CGCGGCGUACAAUGGCGCCCGUAGGCCGGGAGCGAAAUGCGUCACCGCGCCGGCCGGGACUACAACUCCCAGACAACCCCGCGGUGUGCCGCGCCGGGCUGCUCCCAGGUGGCGGCCAUCUUGUCAGGCCAGCUUCGGGUGGCAGGCGAAGCUAGCGCAGCCAGCAAAAGAACCCUCGCCCGCAUCCCUCCGCGGUGCAGCUAGUCAGGCGGAACCCUCAGAGCAUCUCAGAUUGUUCCAUGUGAAGGGGAACAAAUGUUUAAAAGUAAUUUUUAAAAAAAGAAAAGAAAGAUACACCUGUCUUUAAGAUGUUAGCUUUGUGGACACUUCUCAGAACUCCUCAGAGCUCGAGAACUUCAGGUUGGAGAAGCAGGAAUAAAUUACUCAUCAUUUUACCUGACUCGCUUUGGGCCUUUCUCCCUUCCGUUGCUGAUAUCCCAGACAACAUCAGGCCAGACUCUCACCAGCAAGCUGAUCAGGAGCUCUGUAUCUAUACCUUCUGUGAGCCCCCUAAGUUGUGUAUUUAAAAUUGUUUUGUACACCAACUCUAUAUUCAGAAACUUGACAAAAGUGAGUUGUAAAAGAUUUCUCUGACUCUCAGUAACUUUCAAGGUCUUGCAGAUAACCUCAAAUGUAAACAAAGGGCUGCUGCAGCCUCCACUUGAGGCUGAGGUAACUGAAGAGAAAAAAGGGAGGCACUUUUAAACGUAGGCAGCAAGCUCCCCCCCACUCCCUCUUACAGUCUCCUGAAGUUGUAAAGGCAACUAUAAGAUCUUAGGUCCUCUCUGCAAGCGUUGGUGGUUCUGUUUAUAUACAUGGCCUCUAAGGUCUGUACUUGUUUAUAUUUUACAUAGAAUGUUUUUGCCUCCUCAACUCCUGCUCUCCCUUCUCCACAUACCUGAUCGCUCUCUUGGCAAGAAAACAAUCUUAUCCCUUCCACACCUGCCCCGCUUCCUCUCCAAGAGGUUGCCAGCUUGGAGGGCGUAGUUUGAGUCCACACCCCCUUCUCUCUGUCAGACCUCUGCCAGGUAGAUAAAUGGCUAGCAUUCUUCUCUGAUCCAGAUAUAUUCAGUAAAGAAUUCAAAUAUCUGGCCCCAUCCUAUUAUCUCACUUGACGUGAUAUCUAUAUCAUCCUCUCCUCCACUCUAGUCCCCAAGGAGGAGUGGAUCUGGGUCAGGGCACAGGAGAUGAUUUACUCAGGGUGAUCAGAGGCCAGUCGGAGCAGCAGCUGUGCCGCGUGAUGACCCUGGCUGGGAUCACCAAGCCAAUUGGCCGGGCCGAACUCAGCAAAAACAUAUGCCCACUCGUCUUAUUGUUGGGCUCCAAAAGGCCACCCACACGGCUAUAAACUAUGACAAACUCAGAGAAGUUUCCCAAGGACCGGAUAAAAACUCGGCCCAAUUUCUGUUGCGUCUUACCGAGACCCUUCAGAAAUACACCAAAAUCGAGCCUGCCUCAAAUGAAGGCACAAUUGUCCUCAAUACCCACUUCAUCUCUCAGUCAGCUCCAGAUAUCCGGAAAAAAACUAAAAACAGACCAAAGAGGGCCACAAAACCCCUCAGAGAGGUCUCCUUUCUAUGGCCUUCAAGGUCUUUAACAAUAGGGAUGAGUGGGCUAAACAUGACAAGACACAAAGAGAUCAGGCAAGAUACGAGUUGCUGGCUGCUGCAAUCAAGGACACCCAAAUGGGUGCCAGGGACCGGGGACAAGAUAACUGCCCUCCUUCAAGAGCGCCUCCUGGACCUUGUUUUAAGUGCGACUGGCUAGGAGGGCCAUUGGGCACGGACUUGCCACAACCCCCGACCUCCUCCAGGGCCCUGUCUACAAUGUGGAAAAAGGGACACUGGAAGGUGGAUUGUGACCAGCCUCCUCAAGGGUGGGUUUCAGCCACCAUCCCCCAUUUCUCAAGAGGAUUGGACAUCAACCUUCCUAGUCUUCUUGGCUUAGCUGUGGAUGAUUGAUGGAGCCCAGGGCCCCUGGCUCCCUCCCGCAUCACAAUAGUGGAGUGCAGGGUAACUCUUUAUGUGGCAGGACAUGGGGCCACCUACUCUGCCCUUCCUGAGUUUUGAGGGCCUACGCAUCCCUCCCACAUCUCCAUUGUUGGGGUUGACGGCCUUAUCUCAUAGCCUGUAACUACCCCUGCCCUAACUUGCUCACUUCAUAACUUGGGUUUUUGCCACUCAUUUCUAGUACUCCCCAGGUGUGCCACUCCUAUAUUCGGGCGAAGACAUUCUCUCCAAAUUCAGAGUUUCUUUUCAAUUUCAUCCACCCAACCCUGAAUUUGUCCUUUUCCUUGUACUCUCCCCCUCUAACACUCCAAUACAGAUCCCCUUAUUUCUGCCCCUCGUCGAUCCUGUUGUUUGGGACACCUCCAGCCUUCUAUUGCUACAUACCACUGUCCUGUCAAGAUCAAGUUGCAUGAUCCAUCCUCGUUUCCAAACUAACCGCAACACCCCAUCUCUCUCACUCAUCAAAAGGGCCUACAGCCCAUCAUCGACAGACUCCUAGCUAGGGGUCUUCUCAGGCCUACCCAUUCCCCAUAUAAUCCCUAUAUGGGGAUUCCCCUUGCCUAUCUUGCCUGUCAAAAAACCCAAUGGUUCCUAUAGACUCAUUCAAGAUCUUAAAAUAAUCAAUGAAGCUGUUCUCCCAAUGUAUCCUGACAUCCCCAACCCCUAUACCCUUCUUUCUCAUCCCCCAUGAUACCGCUCUCUUCACUGUCCUGAACCUCAAAGAUGCCUUCUCUACCAUUCCCUUACAUCCUCACUCUAAGGACCUCUUUGCCUUUACCUGGACUAACACUAACCCCCUACAUUCCAGAAAACUAACAUGGUCAGUCCUUCCCCCAAGAGUUCAGGGACAGCCCCCCCAAUUCUUUGGCUAGGCCCUAGCGGCUGACGUAGCCUCUCUCAACCUUGCUCCCAGCACACUCCAUGGAUGGUCUUAUUUUGUGCAGUCUGUCUCACUCACUCUCUCUGUGCCAUACCGCUACCCUUCUUAACUUCCUCAGUAGCGAGGGCUACUAGGUAUCCCUACACAAAGCACAACUCUCUACCUCCUCGGUUAUCUACUUGGGAGUUCAACUCAUCCUCACACACAGGGCCAUCACGACUGACCAUAUCUUCCUUAUUAAAUCCAUACCACCCCCACCACAAAAAAUGAAUUCCUCUCCUUCUUGGGUCCCGCUGGUUUCCUUUGUAUCUGGAUCCCCAACUUCGGCCUUGCCCUCUAUAUGAGAUGGCUAGAUGUCCCCCAGAGGAACUACUAGACCCCACGCUAAACCUCAACCUCACUACACUCCUACCUGCAACCACACAGACCUCCAUCCACUCUUGCACUGAAGUCCUAGACUUCAUCAGGCCUCACUUCUCCAAUAUAACCUCUCCCCAAUCUGGAACACACCUGGUUCAUCUAUGGCAGCUCCACCCUUUCUGAGGGUUCCCGUACAGCUGGCUAUGCCAUUGUCACCACCACCACCACCAUCAAGGCAUGUUCCUUCCUGUUGGGGAUGACCUCACAAAAGGCAAAACUCAUUGCACUCACCUGGGCCCUAACAUCCUCCUCAUACAAAUUAUUCCUCGAUUUGUCCUCCCUAUGUCCAUUCAAUCUCAAAGUGGCCCAGCCUUCAUCUCCCAGAUCACACAACAGGUCUCACAAGCCCUCAGUAUACCCUGGAAACUCCAUAUCCCCUACAGACCCCAAUCCUUGGGUAAAGUAGAAAAAGCCAACUCCAUCAUUAAAUCUCACCUCACCAAACUCUCCCUAGAGGUUCAACAACCUUGGACAACCCUCCUACCCGUUGCCCUCUGCCGUAUCCAUGCCACCCCUCAGUCCCCCACCUUCUUCAGUCCUUUCAAGCUCAUGUAUGGCAGGCCUUUUCUAUUAAGCAACUUCCCUUCUAACAGCUCACCAAUGAAAGACUACCUCCCAGCACUUAGCCUCGUUCAGCAGAUCCUUACAUGCAGACUGCAUUCUUCUCGACCCCAAGACACUUCUCUCUCUCUUUCCCUAGCCGUGGGAGACUGGGUCCUUCUCAAAGACCUCAACCCCUCAGACUUACGACCAUGGUGGAAAGGGCCCUUCUCACCACCCCCACUGCAGCCAAUCUGCUUUGGGUCACUGCUCCUAGUUUCACUUCUCUAGGAUGAAAAAGAUGGCUAAACCACCUGUCCUGCCCCUCCACAGGACCACUCAGGCUCCAUGAUAUCACAACUCAGUCCUGGGCCCCACGCAACUUCAACUUCACAAGAUCCCUGAGGAAAAACCGGGAGGCUGAUGAACAGUGACCCCUGCCCCUGCCCCUGUCCUCGCUGCAUGAACCAAACACCCCCAGCCUCACUUCCGGCUCCUUCAAAUUCUGUUUUCUCCACCUUUCCCCUUAACCUCUGCAGGUCCAUUUUAGAGCUCCUUUUGGACAAUUCCAUCAUCCAUCUUCUCAACCUCAGAGGGGACAUAAGCCCCCCAUGGUUGUCUUCAUAAUAUUACUCUUCCCUCUCAUAACACUUUCCUUACCAUUACCCCCCUUAUCUCCUCUGGACCCUCAACCUAACUCAUCAUCUUCUAAACCAGUCAUCCCCCUUACUCGCUCAGGACUGCUGGCUCUGUCUAUCCACCUCUACUCAACUCUUUGCUGCCGUCCCUGUAAUGGCUCAAGUAUGGACUAAUACUUCUGCCUUCAUUUUCUACAAAGUCCAACACAGAUGUGCCUCACACUCAAAAUCCACCACUCGCUACAACUCCUUCCCGAGCCAAUACCAGCUCAGAGCAACACAAUACCUAAAAACCUUCACUGAUGCUCCAGACAAGGCCCAUGACAAAUCCAGACCCAUCGUAGGCCUCUCACGUGCCUCUACUCACAUCCACACCACAGCCCCCCUUCUUCAUCUCCCACUCACAGGCCACCGGCCAUCCUGUGGGCACCUUAGGGCCCAAUCUCUGUGAUACCACCAUCCCUAUCUCAUCCUCUGUUACUCAUUCCACCUCCUCCGCAGGUUCCUUCUUCCCACAACCCCUCCGCUUCUCCUCCCGUCCCAGUCUCAGCACCACUGGAACAACUAACAUCAACACCCUAUACUGUCAGGGGAGGCCUUAGACCCCAAUAAGACUCCUCCUUGGAUUCCCCAUACCAGCAAAAAGGGAUCCAACUGUCUUCCGCUACUUAUUCCAUCUGACCCAGCUAACUUUUGCCUCGAUACACUCAAAUUCCAUCUCUUUAGACAUCAAAACCCUACACCUUACAUUUCCAUACAGCCCCUCAUGGGGCCACAGUGUUGGGCACAAUCGGUAUUCGGGACAAAGAAGGCUCCCCACAGAAAUACAUGGGAACCCUAACCCCUUUCUUCUCCCUCGACAUCUUCACCUGCCUUGGUCCCCUGGCCUCUUCUUCCUCUGCAGAACCUCCACAUACGCCUGCCUCCCCACCAACUGGACACGCACCUACACCCUAGUUUUACUUUCUCCAGAUACUCAGAUCACCCCCAAUAAUCAAUCUCUACCUGUCCCCACAUACACUGUAAUGUGCCUGAAGAAGGGCCAUCUCCCUUAUUCCACUCCUAGUGUCACUGGGCAUCUCUGCAGGGUAGCGACAGGGACAGCAGGGCUCGGAGUCUCCUUACACCACUUUCAGGCCCUGUCACAGAACCUCGCCCAGGCCCAGAAAAACAGAGACCGCCUCAAGCGCCAGUGCGGCUCCUGGUUUAUGAGUAGCUGGGGCCAGUGGUUUCUCCCCCUCCUAGGGCCUCUAAUCAUUAUCUUUUUGGUCCUAGUCUAUGGUCCCUGCCUCCUCCACCAAAACAGCGACUGGCUUACAGGCAGUCAGCAUUUUCUGUCCAAACAAUGCUACCCUGUCAGCACUGCCCCUAUG
Long non-coding RNA from Rhinolophus ferrumequinum (greater horseshoe bat), 5860 nucleotides. RefSeq lists it as uncharacterized. The record is from RefSeq and is a predicted model, not a curated record. The transcript has 4 exons. Lineage: Eukaryota; Metazoa; Chordata; Mammalia; Chiroptera; Rhinolophidae.